ACGGGUUAGUGGCGGACGGGUGAGUAACGCGUGAGAAUCUGCCCUCAGGAGGGGGAUAACGGUUGGAAACGACCGCUAAUACCCCAUAUGCCGCGAGGUGAAAUGAAUUUCGCCUGAGGAUGAGCUCGCGUCUGAUUAGCUAGUUGGUGGGGUAAGAGCCUACCAAGGCUUCGAUCAGUAGCUGGUCUGAGAGGAUGAUCAGCCACACUGGGACUGAGACACGGCCCAGACUCCUACGGGAGGCAGCAGUGGGGAAUUUUCCGCAAUGGGCGAAAGCCUGACGGAGCAACGCCGCGUGAGGGAUGAAGGCCUCUGGGCUGUAAACCUCUUUUAUCAAGGAAGAAGAUCUGACGGUACUUGAUGAAUAAGCCACGGCUAAUUCCGUGCCAGCAGCCGCGGUAAUACGGGAGUGGCAAGCGUUAUCCGGAAUUAUUGGGCGUAAAGCGUCCGCAGGCGGUCUUACAAGUCUGUCGUUAAAGCGUGGAGCUUAACUCCAUUUCGGCGAUGGAAACUGUAAGACUAGAGUGUGGUAGGGGCAGAGGGAAUUCCCGGUGUAGCGGUGAAAUGCGUAGAUAUCGGGAAGAACACCAGUGGCGAAGGCGCUCUGCUGGGCCAUAACUGACGCUCAUGGACGAAAGCUAGGGGAGCGAAAGGGAUUAGAUACCCCUGUAGUCCUAGCCGUAAACGAUGAACACUAGGUGUCGGGGGAAUCGACCCCCUCGGUGUCGUAGCCAACGCGUUAAGUGUUCCGCCUGGGGAGUACGCACGCAAGUGUGAAACUCAAAGGAAUUGACGGGGGCCCGCACAAGCGGUGGAGUAUGUGGUUUAAUUCGAUGCAACGCGAAGAACCUUACCAGGGUUUGACAUCCUGCGAAUCCCUUGGAAACUUGGGAGUGCCUUCGGGAGCGCAGUGACAGGUGGUGCAUGGCUGUCGUCAGCUCGUGUCGUGAGAUGUUGGGUUAAGUCCCGCAACGAGCGCAACCCACGUCUUUAGUUGCCAGCAUUUAGUUGGGCACUCUAGAGAGACCGCCGGUGAUAAACCGGAGGAAGGUGUGGAUGACGUCAAGUCAUCAUGCCCCUUACAUCCUGGGCUACACACGUACUACAAUGCUACGGACAAAGGGCAGCAAACUCGCGAGAGCUAGCCAAUCCCAUAAACCGUGGCUCAGUUCAGAUCGUAGGCUGCAACUCGCCUACGUGAAGGAGGAAUCGCUAGUAAUCGCAGGUCAGCAUACUGCGGUGAAUACGUUCCCGGGCUUGUACACACCGCCCGUCACACCAUGGAAGUUGGCCACGCCCGAAGUCGUUACUCCAACCCUUGUGGAGGAGGAUGCCGAAGGUGGGGCUGAUGACUGGGGUGAAGUCGUAACAAGGUAGCCGUACCGGAAGGUGCGGCUGGAUCACCUCCUA
Molecule: ribosomal RNA, 1410 nt
Filed under: Synechococcus sp. MA0607J
Lineage: Bacteria; Bacillati; Cyanobacteriota; Cyanophyceae; Synechococcales; Synechococcaceae
Description: bacterial SSU rRNA
Rfam family: Bacterial small subunit ribosomal RNA
Source: RNAcentral